CUUUGUUCGGUCGAAUUAUUUUCUACUACUAUCAAUGGUAGUAAUCCAGUUUUUUUCUAGAGAAUGAGAUGAUGAUCGAGAUUUUACUUCCCUAUUGGUUUGAUCGCCGCUAUGAUGGCAUCCCAUAACGUAUUAGCUCUAUCUGAUCAUUCUCUUUUAUCUCCCACCAAUCUUUAUCCUUUCACCGAUUUUACGCAGCCCUUGGUGUUGGGUUUUCUUUAGUUUAUACUUAGCAGGCCCGAACCGCACGUAUUUCUACAUUAUAACAACAAUUAUACUAUAAACAUGUGUAUUAUCACUUGUUGGGUUUGAAAAAAAAAGACGAAAUUGUGUGUAUCUAUGUAAUCAUCUUUUAAUUUUACGCAUGUGACAAAAAAUGAUUGAUAUCUCGGACCUUUAGGGUGGUUUUUUUCAUACCUAUAUGGGAAAUUUGAGGCAAUUUUAUGUAUUCAAGGGAUUUGCAUGUGCCAAUCCCUUAUAAAUUUUUUUUUUUUAAAUUAACGUGAAAAAGUAGUCUGACUUGUGCAAGGCUUGUGCAAGGGCCCGGGCACCCCGUGUGUCUGCCCCUGUAAUAAUGAUUUUGUUCAAUUUAGAAAGGAAGCACAAAUCGAAGGCUUGCAGGUUUAUUGUAAUCAAAGCCUGUUGAGCUCAAAUUUUGUGCAAGAUGUUCUGUUGUCAACCUUGGUAGGCUUCUCUUGCAGUUCUUAGCUAGACGAAUCUUCAAAGUUGACAUAAAUUUCCCUUUGGUUUCAUUUAAUAUCCUGAUUUUAAAUGCUAAUCUUGUCCUGUCUCCUAUAAAACUUUCUUUCGGUUUGAUAUUUGAGGAAGGGAGGGGCCAGAAAUUUUCCGGUACAUAUGUUACUUAUCUUACUCGCCUUAUAGUGUCAACACUACUGAAUUAUUUGCUUUCUGUGUAAGCUUUGCCAGAUGAUGGAACAAACGUAUAACGAACUGGCGGAAUUAUAUGAACUUUUGACUUUUACAUACAGUGCUGGUGGAAGUUUCCUGUUGUAGGCUUGGGGAACAGUAUUGGAAGCUGUGGUAGAGUAGUUGGCUGUCACUGAAUAAGUGAUUUGUUCAAGUUCUAAUAUUUGUAGACUUGCAGGAAAACAAUAUUUUGGAGCAGGUUGUAGCUCUUCAAAAGAUAUAUUGCUUUGACUAUUAAUGGCAUGAUUACUUCCCUCAAAAGGAUUCUAUUUACUAGACAAUUAGACAAAUAUGACCAUAGGAAAUUGCUGCAAGCUGGUUAUUUCUAGGUUUCCCCUCUAUUCAUUAUCAAUUUCACAUGAAAUAUUUCAGCCACUGGAAGCGAUUGUCGUGCUGAUUUUUUUUUCCUUGACUUCUGCCAAGGGCCGUAUUGAUGAAGAUAUAUGAUUUUGUUACUGUAGAUAAGUAAAAAAACACUUUAAAAAUUCAACACAAUGGAACAGACAAGUGCACGAACAAAUAAGAGGAGGAGGAUCGUUGAGCCUCCAUCCAAAAUCCCUCUAAUUAAGUUUCGGUACUUCAAAGACUCCACAAUAGAAGAAAGGAAGGUGCAAUGGCCUAAAUGACAACAUAAAUGCCUCAAGAUGGUUGAAUUGAUUACAAUUGUUGGAUGCAAAGCUGAGCUGCAGAUCGCCUUAUAUUUACUCUGCAGUACUCUGUCAC
Long non-coding RNA from Rhododendron vialii, 1650 nucleotides. RefSeq lists it as uncharacterized. Lineage: Eukaryota; Viridiplantae; Streptophyta; Magnoliopsida; Ericales; Ericaceae. The transcript has 3 exons. The record is from RefSeq and is a predicted model, not a curated record.